Oryctolagus cuniculus (rabbit) is the source of this 12166-nucleotide non-coding RNA. The record is from RefSeq and is a predicted model, not a curated record. Lineage: Eukaryota; Metazoa; Chordata; Mammalia; Lagomorpha; Leporidae.
AACCAUGUCCAGGCUAUAAAACUGUCUUGAUACCUUGUUUUACAUGGAUUUACAUACUCAGAGUCACACUACAUACACACACACACACACACACACACACUCUUUUUUUAUAAAGGGGUAGGGCAACAACUAAAGGUGAGAAGGAGAGCAAUCUAUUGAAUUUUCAAGACAGGAAGGACAACUCAUAAAGGCUGAAACCAGGCUCCCUCUUGGUGCUGUUAGUGCCAUUUGGGAGAAGAACCUUUCCCCAGGUAGGUCAAAGUGUUACAAACUGACCUGACCUUCUGGCACAGUUGCUUCAGAACAGUGUUGUAUGGCACAGAAGGAAACCUGUGUGUUACUUGCUGUGAUCUCAUUCGUCCUAUGGCCAGCCAAGUCAGCCUUCCUUAUGGUAGAAGGUAGUGAUAGCUUUUUCUCUGUAUUUACCUUGACACAUUUUUUUCCCUGUCAAGUUGUGAGAAUUUUUCCUUUUAAAAAUUAAAAAAAAAAAAUUUUAAUUUUUUGUCUUGCCUCUACUUGGACUAGGCUAGACUUCCUCUCUAUUGAGGGAAGAAACUGACCCUCAAUAUUUACUCUUUUCCCUCCAGUUUAUUAUAAAAUAAGUGUGUUUGUUUGUUUGUUUGUUUGUUUAUUUAUUUAUUUUGACAGGCAGAGUGGACAGUGAGAGAGAGAGACAGAGAGAAAGGUCUUCCUUUGCCGUUGGUUCACCCUCCAAUGGCCGCCGCAGUCCGCGUGCUGUGGCCGGCACACCGCGCUGAUCCGAUGGCAGGAGCCAGGUGCUUCUCCUGGUCUCCCAUGUGGGUGCAGGGCCCAAGGACUUGGGCCAUCCUCCACUGCACUCCUGGGCCACAGCAGAGAGCUGGCCUGGAAGAGGGGCAACCGGGACAGAAUCCGGCUCCCCGACUGGGACUAGAACCCAGUGUGCUGGCGCCGCAAGGCGGAGGAUUAGCCUGUUGAGCCAUGGCACCGGCCAAGUGUGUUUCUUAUAAUAGUGUUCAUUUUGUGCAGAAUCUUUCUUUGUAAGGUCUUACAAUGGUGAUUUUACUGCCCACAGGAUGACAUGAGCAGAAUCAGCGUGCCCACACAAAUAAAUCUUAUAGCUGCUACAGACUGAAUUGUGUCUCCCCUCCCAAUUCAUAUGUUGAAACUCUAACCCAUAAUAUGAUGAGGCCUUUAUGACAUAAAGUUCCAUGAAGUCAUAAAGGUGGUAAGCCUUGUAAGAGGAAGCGUGUCCUCUCUCCCUCUCUACCUCUUCCUGUCUCCCUCCCUUCCUGCCCUUCUCCUUUGAUCCCUCCUACCUCAUGUGAGCAAAUAGAAAAAGGUCUUCAAGCCUUCCAGGACAAGAGUCCUCAGAAUGAAUCCUACCCUGCUGGCACCUUCACCUUGGACUUCUCAGUCUCUAGAACGAUAUUCCUGAGUUGCUGAAUUCCAGCUUCAUUCCAUUGUGGUCUGAGAAGAUGGAAAUACUGGGAAACUUCAGAAGGCUUUCUUAUGCAAACUUAUCCUUGGGACCUGCAUUCAUACCACAGCAUAUAAAACCAUGCUUCUUAGUGGUCGAAGUGCUGGUUUCUAUUAUAGACUUUACAAGUGGCUUACUCAGGUAUUCCCAAAAGUCUGUUUCAUCCUGCCAUGAAGAUUAAUAUUGUAAGAACUCAAAGCACUCUUCAAAUAUUAAUUAACCAAGCCUGUAUAGCAACUUCUCUGAGGCAGGAUGAUUUACUCAGCUUCCCGAAUGAGACAAUCAGAGCAAGUGAUUCAUUUGCGAGGGGCCAGGAUGAGCUUGCAUACAGUUUGGAAGAGAAUAUUGCAUGUUUUUUUUUUUUUUAAUGGUGUUUCUAAGAUGUAAUGCUGCUUCUCAGAUGUGCUCUAUUCAGAUUUUGUUUAAUGAUGUCUCAUGGCUCAAGAUUAUUGCUGGAUGUGCUAAUAAAAGUGUCAGAUAUUCAAAUGUUUUUUUCCCCUUUUCCAAGAUAAGGAAUAUGAAGAUAGAAUGUACUGGGUCUGUGAAGAUUCAGUCAAAUGAUGAUUUUCUGAUGAUCUUAGUACUAUCUUGCAAAUUAUUUUAUUGUUUACCUUUGAGCUCAAUUGGGGUCAACGUUUUAAUUCUUAGCAUGCUCCCUAGGUGACAGACUGAGGAAGGUCUUGUAUGAAAAGGAAAACAAUGAGUAAAGGAAAUUUUAUGUCUAAGAAAAAUUAAGAGAUCACAGCAGGUAUUAAAAAAAGGAUAGCUUGUUCCACCUACAAGCGUGGGAUCUGCAAUCAUUCCUAUCAUAAUUUGGUGGUCCUAGGAUGAAAAUACUGCUCAGUAAUUGCUGGAUUGACCCCUCCUGUUCUUGCCCAGUGGCAUUAUCUAGCAGACAGUAUUUAUCAAAGGAGCUGCUGGAAUUUCUCUGAAGUUCCCCCAAAGCAGCAGGAAGAACACAGUCUGUGAAGCAAAACCUGACUUCAUGUUUUGAUUGUACCAUUUAUUGGCUGAGUAACCUUGAAAAUGACCUAAUGUCUCAUAGCCUUGGUUGCUAUUUUGGUAAAAUGGUAUAGCUUAUGAUAUUUGCUAGAGUAGAUGCUGUUGGCAUCAUGCCUGGGUAGGUCUGCACUACCACCAGCUGCUGAAAAGACUGGGUGCUAAGGGUCCAUGGCUGUGCUUCUGAAAAUGCCCUUGCCAGGUGGGAGACAGCUCACCCAAAAUGCUCAGAAGGUGGUAUUUCCUGCUUCCAGCGACAGAUCCAGAGGUAGUAACUGACUGGCCUCUUGUCUUAGUGAGGGACAGUUCUGUGAUACUGAUCCACUUCACUGCUCCCUGUGGGAUUAAGCUGAUUUAACUGAAACUACAUCUUUGCUUGGCUUCUAGGAUGUCUUGAAUCCUUCAUUUUCUGUAUGUUUCUCCUCAGAUCCCUACUUCUGCAAGUUAUUUACUGUGCCCCACUUCUAUGCAACCUGGCCUCAGAUGCUUAGCCUUCUUCAUAAGGUUAGAAUUUUUUGUGCAGUGUUUAACAGAAGGGAUGAUAGUGCAUAUGCCUUAAGUCGUUCACAAUAACUAUGGCUUUCUCACAAUUGCUUAAGUACAUCUGAAAGUUUGGAGUAUCUUGCACCUUGAAAAGACCCUGCUAAAUUCAUGUUAGACUAUAUUUACCACUUACUUGCGGUCAGUGUUUAUCAACAAAUUUGUUUUUUUAGAAAAUAAGGCAAAUGGAAAAUAAUAAUUAUUGAAGAGCUAAAGACAAGAAUAUAACUGGGCAUGUCUUAGAAGGCAUUGCACAGAGUACCAGACCACUGGGACACUGGGACAGUACAGAGCCCUGGGCGGUGGCUGUGAGGAGUCAUCUGGGAUGUGACAGGUGGUGUGGCUGCAGGACAAAGGCUUCCUUUUGUUUCACAAAUUUCCUUCUCAGUAUUUUUCUUGUUCACUAUCUCUAAAGUCUGGAAAUGCUAGAGAGGCUUAUCCAAGGCUGCAAGAAGGCAAAAGAGAGAGUCUGAGAAACCUAGUUGUCAUCUGCACAGAGAGAUGGAAAGAUGGCUGAGUACAAGUAGAGAUGACAAUGUAAACAUCUCAAUGAGAUACCACUUACUUAGUCCAGCAUCACAAACUUUAAGAGACAUAAGAAAAGUAGUUAAUGUUUAAAUAACCACAAGAGCUCAUUCAAAGAUUCUGUCUUGAGGAAGAGGUAAAAGGUUUAGAAUUCUAUCCACUCACCCUUUGUAUCUGAGGUAGUAUAUCUUCUCAAGUCUCUGGCUUUAAGAAAACUUUGAAAAUACAGCUAGAUUCCCCAAAAGUGUCAGUGUACAAUCAGCAAAUCAUAGUGAUCUCUUAAAACUGAUUUAUAAAUUUGUAGAUUUUGCUUUUUACUUUGGACAUCACAGCCAAUCUUUUUUAUUACAAAAAAGGGAUGCCAUGAGACACUGUGAGACUUUUUGAAAUAAGCAAAAGAAUAAUGUGUAACACCAAAAUAUACCUUAAUGUUAAAAACAAACAAAUUAAGGCGAGAGAUGAAUUAGUUGCAAUUUAUCCUAUUAGUCUGGUUUAUUAUUAAGACUCUGAUUUGAAGUACUUAAAAUAAAAAUAAUUUAUGCUGUGAAGGACUUGGGAAAAUUCCAAGAAAACGUUGGGCGAAUACUGUUCAUUGUUAUUGGGAUCGAGUUGCCUCCUUAUUAUUUCCUGUUGAUGACAAGCCUGCAUGUACUUUUUGUUUUAGCACUUCUCUGGAUGAAACCCUUUGUUAAUAUAAGAGAUAAUUUACAAUGCAGCUUAAAUUUUUAAAAACAUAUUUUAAAAUGUGACUUCUGGCAUUUAAUAAUAUAUAUUGAAAAUAUUUGAUACUUAUAUUUUUUCCACCUGUUGGGAACUUGAGUCAUUUGUAGUACCUAAAAUUAUGGGAGAAAACAAAGUGAUUAUACUUUAGUCUUGCUGUUUUAUUACAUUUCAUAAAGUGUAAAGAUUUCAAAAUACAUAAAUUAUUGAACAGCUAGACAUAGUUUUGUAUAUAUUACUUUCAUGCCAAUGGACAUCUAAGAAGUGCUAUACUGACUAGAUAAAUUGACCAUCAUUUUCUUAAAGAAGGUGCUCAUAUGCUUUCAACAUAUGCCAGCAUGUUUUAGAAAAAAUCUAGUAUAUGAGAAAUGGCUGCCAAAAGCUGAAGGUGCCGUGAGACCAAAGAAUGGACAAAUCCAAGAAUACACAGAAUGUAAUUUACUGAUGUGACUUACAGAUAGCAAUCUGGCCUCAGGCGACUGUGAGACAUAUGGAUCACUGUGCCCUAGCCAAUAGAAAAAGGCUUGUAUGGACAAAAUCCUAAUUAGAAUGCAUCCAGACUUUCUCAAGAAAUGCUAACUUCCCAGACAUUAGAUAAGGGACAUUCUAAGGUCUUGCCCAGCAAAGCAAUCUCAACAAGUUAUCUUGUGACUUUGUUUCAAAUAAGGUUUGGGAUGACCUCCAGGGUCACCUCAAGGAUAAGAAAGCUAUUACUUGUAAGAUGGCUGUUAUCGUGUCAAGCUUUAUAUAUUCCCAACAGAUGAAUCUGGGUGGCAUUGUCCCUGCUCUUUCUGCAGCCUUAAUUGUUUUGCGUGGAACACACCUGUAUAGCACCAACCUCUUAGGUAAGUUGAGCUCUUUGUUUACCCAAAGGCUGACGGUUGGAAAGGGCAAGGAAUAAUCUAGUGCCUGGCAUUGACUAUGCCAAACUGUGACCUUGACAGUGAGGAGAGAGGCAAGAGAAGCACAAAAACAACAGAACAACUGGGACUUCAUCUUUAAGCCUUUAGUGAGGCUGGUUGCCCUGAACAUAAGCCCAGUCUUAAUUGGCCAAAUCUCCAAUCUUUUAGUCAUCAGAUAGAAGGUGUUGCAUAUUUGUAUAUAUUCAGUUUAAUAAGACUGUGCUCUUUUGAAAAUUGCUAUCUCAAAUGACUUAAAUAAAUGUUUUGACAUUUAAAGAGCUAAAGUUCAGUUCAGUUGAAUACCACAUGGCCUGAGAAAAAGAUAAUUACCAUAUACUGUAGCAGUGUUACAAAUGCUAUCCACAGUGUGCAAAACUUUUUAAAGUUUUCUAUUCUCGUUUUAUUUGAAAGAUAUAUAGUGUGUGUGUGUGUGUGUGUGUGUGUGUACAGUUGGGGGAUGAUAGAGAAAAAUCCCUCAUCUGCUAAUUGCCUCUCCGAAUGUCCAUAACAAUCAGGAAUGGGCAAGGCUAGAGCCUAGAGCCCAGAAAUAGAUCUGGGCCUCCCAUGUGGGUAGCAGGGUUCCAAACUUGAGCCAUCAUUUGCUGCCUCCAAAGAUGUACAUCGGCAGGAAACUGCAAGGAAAGCAGAGGAGCCAAGACUGGCACCAACCACUACGAUGUGAGAUGUGGAUGCUCCAAGAGGUGACCUAGUUGAUGUGCCAAAUGGCCCCCAAACCUUUUUCUUGUCCAGAAAAUAACUGUUGGCUUUUCCACAUCUCUAAAUCACACACACCCUUUAUUCAGCAUUAUUUUUCUUAGUCCUUUAGAGGCAAACCAUGGGUAAACAACGACAAAAAAGUCCAAAAUAAAGGUUACAUUUGGUUAAUUAAGAUAGGAUUAAGUUUAAAACCAUUGAAAUAUUUUCUUCAGAAUUUACUGUUUAUACAAAAUGAUUUAACAAAACCUCCCCGGUUCUAUUUUUGGCUAGAUACUAACUAAUUAUCAUUAUACUUAUAUGAGAACUAAGCUUUGCCACUUCCUAAGUAAGAGUUAUUAAAAUGAAAAUCUAAGAAAUGAAAAGGAGGGGGACAUAUUCACACACUAGCCACUUACUAAAGCAGUGUUUCUCAAGGGCAGGGAGUAAAAUCCUAUGUGGGGAUGACAGGCUGAUAGGAGGCAUUUUCAGCUGGAACACACUGAAAUUUUCAAAGUACACUGACCAGGGAACACCCUUUUUUGCCUCCCUGUGACUCCCUAAACAAGAACCAUAAGAUAAACUGGAAUCGGCAGUAAGAGGACAUUGCCAGGAAAUGUCCAUUUUGAAACACAGUAUUUCAUAGUUAAUAAAACAUCAGCCAAAGGGAACUACAUUUCUGAUUGGUGAUUCAGAUUUGUGUCUCGUUUACCCUCUGAUUCACCUGCUUGAAAUGGGCUUCUCCAGUGGUUUUCAGCUGGAAGGAGAAGGGUUGGAAGAAGAUGAAUCCCUACAGCUUUAUUCCUCCAUAAUUGUUAUUGAAUAGCAAAUUCCUAGCAUACUAGUCCACGAAGCAUGGCUUUAAUGUUGUACAAGCAUCGCUUACUAUAUGGUCACACAUAUAACAUGAUAUAGGUAUUUUUACUCUUCUUUAAAAAUGGAAUCUAAAGCUCAGAAAGCUAACAGACCUAAGGCCACACAGCAUGCUGGAUGGCAGCAUAGGGACAAAAAAGUUUGUCUCUACAAAAUAAUUACUGUUCAUCAGAAAAAAACAGCUAAGCCUAAACUAUUCUUUACUGAAAUUUUUGUUGAUAGUGGUAAAAAAUUCCCAUCAGCUUGUGAAAAGAAAUUGUGUAUCAAUUAAUAUGUGAGGUACUGAGUGGUGGUAUGCACUGGUUUAUUCCCACCAGCUCAAAAUCCUGAAAGAUCAUUGAAAUGCAUUCCAUUAUUGUUGCCCCAUUCUGUGGCAGCACUAUUAUUAUUAUGGUUUAUACAGGGGUAGAAUGGAUAGAUAAUUGGAAAAUAUUAAUUUUAUCUAAUGAAUUAACAACUUAGAAAUUAGUUUUUCUUUUAUAAGAUGAAACUUACUAACAUAUUCAUGCAGUAUAUGGCAUUCAUCAUUGCUUAUUCUUCAUCUCAUAUUGAUUUCCAUUUAGUUGUAAUCAUAUUUUAUUUGAGAAAUAUUUAUUGUGUACUGCUAUGGGUGAGGCAUUACUGGAGCUGAUUGGAUUCCUAUACGAAGAAAACCCAGCCUCUGCUUUGAAUCAUUUGCAUCCUCAUGGAAGUAGAAUAAAAAGUAAAAUGGUUAAGUGCAGGGAACUGGACACAUGCUCUACAUGCCUUCAUUAAGAAGGUGUUGUAUUUGAAUUAUAAAUUUAACUGGCACAUUGAGGUAAUUUUCAAAUACAUUAGGUAAACAGAACAUUUUAAUUAACUAGAAAAUUUAUUUCUCUUCUGGCAGUGUUGAGUAAAAAGGGAUCAAAGUAAAUAUUAUGAUGUGCUCUCUUAUUUAUUCAUAUUUUUGUGCAGGAAAUUUUCUAUGGUAAUUAUCGUUGAGUAUGCUUAAACUCUCUUUAGAGUUUUGGGGGCUGGUAAUGUGGCGUAGUAGGUUAGGCUGCCACCUGUGAGGCUGGCAACCCAUAUGGCUGCUAGUUGGAGUCCCAGCUGCUCCACUUCUAAUCCAGUUCCCUGCUAAGGAGCCUGGGAGACCAGCAAAUGAUGGGCCAAAUUCUUGGGCCCCUGCACCUACAUGGGAGAUCUGGAAGAAGAACCUAGCUUUGGCUUGAUUGAACCCCAGCCGUUGUGGCCAUUUGGAGAGUGAACCAGUAACUGGAAGAUUUUUCUCUCUUUCUCUCCUUCCCUAACUCUGACUUUCAAAUAAAAUAAAUAAAAUCUUUCUUAAAAACAGGAUUUUCAUCCACUAAGAUGGGUGAAAUGUCAUAAAAGUAGAUUUAUUAAAUCAGGAGUCUAUUUUUGGAAAUGCUAGGUUCAUGAUGAAAUGCUUAGCUUAGAUGGGUUGUCUAGUAAUCAAUUCAAUUAAUGAGUUUGAUGUCUUUGAGGAACUCUGGGUUAGUGAAACAAAGUUAGAACAUUAUUUUAAAAUCAUAGAGUAAGUAUAUACAGAGCAGAGAAGAUAUGGGAAGAAAAAAGUAGAGGUACGAGGACUAAGUAAGUAUCAAUGGUCAGGAUUCACGAGAGAGGGAGAGGAACUGGAAAAGAACAUUGAGAAGGAGAUCCAGGGGGCAGAAAGCAAGCCCACAAAUGGCUAGCUGAAAGAAAAGUGGUGGAAUCCUUUAAGCAUAGAGGGAGUGGUUAAUCAUAUCAACUUCUGGUGUUUGCUUGAGUAAUAUGAGUUUUGACCAGUGGAUUCAUGAGUAACUUGUGUAAGAAGGAUUUUAGUGCAGUGAGGUGAAGCUCAAACUGGGACGAAUUCAAGAGGGAAUGGGAAAUGAGAAACUUUAGCAGAGAAAAUAACCAACACUUUUGGGUCCUGUAUGUUCUUCCAUUAAGGCUUCAAUGAUUAUAGUAAGAAUGAUUUUAGUGGAUUUACACUAAAGUGUAACAAAAGCAGACAUUUUAGAAAUGGGAACAGACCAGAUGGGUACUGUCUACUCAUUUGGAGAUCCAUUUUAAUUCCAUUGAGCUCAGUUAUGACUCUGUAGUAAUGAGUCUUAAAAUACACAUUUCAUGAAAAUCGUAUCAAGGUGAAAAUAUGUUUUACAUAUAUUUUAUAUGAUGGAAACCUAUUGUGAUGUUUCUUUACAAUCUAGUUAUAGCACAUUUUAUAAUUCCUUAUAAUACAACAAUAAUCUGAGAGGCAGUGUAGCUUAAUAGUGGUUAAAGCAUAACAAUGCAGGAGUUCAAAUCUCAGCUCAGCUUUUGUGGGCUCUGUGACCUUGAUUAGAUGUGAACCUAAGGUUUCUCAUUGGUAAAUGCAGAAAACAAUACUGUCAACCUCAUGGUGUGGUCUCAGAGGCUGAAUGAAUUAAUACAGUAAUAUAUUGACAAACAAAUCAGGAAAGUGGUAUGUAAGAAAUGAUAUAUGAUUGUAAUUACCAUUAAUCAGUAAGUUUUAAAGAAUGAUUCCUGACAAGUAGGUAAGGUUCCACAAGAUUUGAAAUAGAAGUGAACUGAUUUCAGUGUUGUGUUUAACAUAUUUAAGUGUUAUAUUCUGAAUAUAAAUCCCUUUUUUCCUUUUGAUUAUAGAACCAUCUUCACAGCUAGAGAUUACAUUUACCAUUUUCAGUGUAAUUAAGUACAAUUAUUUUUUUUCUCUGCUAUGUGACUAAAUUCUUGAAUAAGAGAUAUGAGCAAAGCCUUUCCAUUAAAAUAACAGGACAGAUGCAUUCCUCUUUAUUUUUAUGGUCCCUUUUCAGGAAUUGAAUAUGAAAUACCAUGCUGAUGAUCAGCCUGGACCAGGCUGAGAAAACCAUUAUUUUAAGACAGGGAAAUAGUUAGAAAUGCUUUUUUUAGUUCUCACCCUUGAAUCAGAAACUCCAGGGCUGAUCCCAUCAAUCUGUUUUGACUUGCUUCUGAUGAACAUGAAGUUUGGGAAUCAAUUUCUUAGGGAACCACAGAAGAGCAAGGUAAAAGUCCCCUGAGUGUCUGGGUGACCUUUUGUAGACUGCCCAUUCAUUCAUUUUUGUUGUUAAGGGUUUAUUUACUUAUUGAAAGAGUUACAGAGAAGGAGAGAGAGAGGGAGAGACAGAGACAUCAUCUAUCUGCUGGUUCACUCCCCAGAUGGUUGCAACGGCUGGGCCAGGACAAAGCCAGGAGCUUCUUCCUGGUCUCCCACAUGGGUAGCAGGGACCCAAGCACUUGGGCCAUCUUCUGCGGCUUUUCCCAGGUUUAUCUAACUGGGAGCUGAAUCAGAAAUGGAGCUGCCAUGAACUGGCACCCAUAUGGAUGCCAGCAUUGCAGGCAGUAGCUUUAUGUUGAUCAAUGAAUUUCUAUUUUCUUUGAGCUACUGGAUUUUUGCACUUUUUUUUCAGCAUUUAGCAGCACUCUAAAGCCAUAGUGUACCUUUUCGCUUCUCAGUUUAUAACCAGAUAUCUUUAAUGGGGAAAAAAAAAUUCCUCAAAGAGCUACUAAUAACCAAACACUCUUUACAGAGGAAAGGGAAAAAUUGACUGGCUUUCAAUUUGCUGCACCUAUUAUGUGCAGCAAAUUGAAAUCAAAAACACCGAUUAUACAUACUCACAUACAGACUCACAUUCCAUGUAAUUUUUUCAGUCACAAAAAAACCCUUCUUAGAAAUAAUUAGUAAUUCAGAGGUAAAUCACAAUCAGAAUGAUACUCACUUAAACGUAAAUGAUUUUGCAAUUCAUCAUAUUCUAAAACGAAAAGUCACAUUCUUAUUUAUUUGCUAGCAUGCAAUUUAAAAUUACAAUAAAUAUUUCAUAAGAUCAUAUUAUGCUUCAGAAACUGCAAAGGGAAGUAGAAAAACAAAGAUGAUUAAGAGAUAAAAACUGCCCUAAAUUAGCUUACAGUCUCAUGAGAUAAUAGCAGUUGUUUUGCUAGAAGCACAUUAGGAGUUACUUGGUUCACAAUAACUGCCUUAACCCAUUUUUUUAAACACUGUAUUGCGUAUAUUUAAGGCAUGCAGCAUAAUCUUAUGGGAUCCAUAUUGAGAGUAAAAUGGUUACUAUAGUGAAGUAAAUUAAAAUAUCCUUCAUCUCACAUAGUUACCUAUUUGGGUAUGUGUUUUUUUGUCUGUGUGUUUGUGUGUGUGUGUGACAAGUAGUUAAUAUCUACUCAUUUGGAAGGAAUUUCAGAUACAGUGCAGCUUAAUUACCUGUAGUCUUAACGCUGUACAUUGGAUCUCUAAAUUUGUUCAUUUUGUGUAUCUGCUACUUUGUAUCUUCUGACCUAUAUCUACCCACUUCUUCCUCACCCUCUCCUACCCUUUGUAACUUCUAUUUUAUUCUAUCAUUCUAUAUAUUUGGGUUUUUAAAAACCCAUAUGUAAGUGAGAUCAUGUAAUAGUUUUCUUUCUGUUUGGCUCAUUUAGCACAAUGUCCUCCGGUUCUAUCCAUGUUGUGGUACAUGGCAGGAUCUCCUUUUUUGUAAGGUUGAGUAGCAUUCCAUAAACAGGAAUUGUUGGGUUGUAUGGUAGUACACUAAUGCUACAUUUUUGCAUAAUUAUUUCUUUAUCUUACAGUUAAUGUUGAUUAAAUUGUUUAUUGAUAUUAUUUACAUGUUAUAAAAUAUCUUCAUUUUCAGCAUAAAUUUCUUUGCUGAAAGUGAUGUAUAAGGAUGUGGGGUAAAAUAAAGGGGAGAGAGAUCCAACAUGGGAAGUGAGAUACUCAGCAGACUCAUAGAAUGGCAGAUGUCCUAAAUAGCACUCUGGCCUCAGAAUCAGCCCUAAAGGCAUUCGGAUCUGGCUGAAAAGCCCAUGAGAGUAUUUCAGGCAUGGAAAGCCAAGACACUCUGGCAAAAGAUCUCUGUGAGUGAGAUCCCAGUGGAAAGAACAGGUCAUCAAAGAAGGAGGUACCUUUCUCUGAAGGGAGGAGAGAACCUCCACUUUGACUAUGACCUUGUCUAAACAAGAUAAGAGUCGGAGAACUCAGAGGGCUUCCAUAGCCUUGGAAACUCAUGACUGGAGCAUAGGGAGAUUACUGAUGCCAUAGACAGGAGUGUCAAUUGGUAAAGUCAACAACAGGAGUCACUGUGCACUUACUCCUCAUGUAGGAUCUCUAUCCUUAAUGUGCUGAACAUUGAGACUUAAUGCUAUAACGAGUACUCAAACAAUAUAUUUCACUUUGUGUUUCUAUGGGGGUGCAAACUGUUGAAAUCCUUACUUAAUGCAUACUAAACUGAUCCUCUGUAAAAAAAAAAAAAAAAGAAAUUAUCAAUUCCCAACUUGACUCUCACUGGGAUUAAACAUGACAAUAGGUCUGAUCUGAUUUCAUCAUCAUUUAAAAAAAAAAUCAUCUAUUAUUUUUCACUUUAUGUUUCUGUGUGGGAGCAAACUGUUGAAAUCCAUACUUAAUGUAUACUAAGCUGAUCUUCUGUAUAUUAAAAUAAUCGAAAAUGAAUCUUGAUGUGAA